AGGAUACGGUUAACGGAGCGAAAGCGACGUUCAACCUCAAAAGAAGCAGAGGGGGCUUAGUGGUGGGGUGACUGCGUACCUUUUGUAUAAUGGGUCAGCGACUUAUAUUCUGUAGCAAGGUUAACCGUAUAGGGGAGCCGGAGGGAAACCGAGUCUUAAUUGGGCGUUAAGUUGCAGGGUAUAGACCCGAAACCCGGUGAUCUAGCCAUGGGCAGGUUGAAGGUUGGGUAACACUAACUGGAGGACCGAACCGAC
This 255-nucleotide ribosomal RNA is filed under the name Salmonella enterica subsp. enterica serovar Senftenberg. RNAcentral's name for it is "partial 23S ribosomal RNA". It matches the Rfam family "Bacterial large subunit ribosomal RNA", at positions 515 to 783 of the family's 2925-position model. Lineage: Bacteria; Pseudomonadati; Pseudomonadota; Gammaproteobacteria; Enterobacterales; Enterobacteriaceae. RNAcentral also lists the same sequence under 1 other name. The record is from RNAcentral.